Molecule: ribosomal RNA, 249 nt
Filed under: uncultured organism
Description: partial 16S ribosomal RNA
Rfam family: Bacterial small subunit ribosomal RNA
Source: RNAcentral
UCGAGGAUCUUCGGCAAUGGGGGCAACCCUGACCGAGCGACGCCGCGUGGACGACGAAGGCCUUCGGGUUGUAAAGUCCAAAGGUACCAAGGAAGACUGACUGAGGUACAGUAAGCACGGGCUAAGUUCGUGCCAGCAGCCGCGGUAAGACGAACCGUGCAAACGUUGUUCGGAAUCACUGGGCUUAAAGGGCGCGUAGGCGGGUCGGCACGUCUGAGGGUGAAAGACCACAGCUCAACUGUGGCCGGG